UACAGAGGUCUCGAGCGUUGUUCGGAUUCAUUGGGCGUAAAGGGUGCGUAGGUGGCGCUGUAAGUCGGGUGUGAAAUCCUGAGGCUUAACCUCGGAACUGCAUCCGAUACUGGCGGGCUUGAAUCCGGGAGAGGGAUGUGGAAUUCCAGGUGUAGCGGUGAAAUGCGUAGAUAUCUGGAGGAACACCGGUGGCGAAGGCGGCAUCCUGGACCGGUAUUGACGCUGAGGCGCGAAAGCGUGGGGAGCAAACAGG
RNAcentral lists this ribosomal RNA (253 nucleotides) under uncultured bacterium. Its description in RNAcentral is "partial 16S ribosomal RNA". It matches the Rfam family "Bacterial small subunit ribosomal RNA", at positions 524 to 776 of the family's 1533-position model. The record is from RNAcentral.